This is a long non-coding RNA of Tripterygium wilfordii, 1550 nucleotides long. RefSeq lists it as uncharacterized. NCBI's taxonomy places the organism in Eukaryota, Viridiplantae, Streptophyta, Magnoliopsida, Celastrales, Celastraceae. The transcript is spliced from 6 exons. The record is from RefSeq and is a predicted model, not a curated record.
UGACGCUUCCUUCUCCGUCCACAGACAUUCCACCCUCGAUUUCAACUCGACGCCUCUGCUUCUCUAGGCCAUUCAUGCAUGUGACUUAAUGCUUCUCCUCUUUUAAGUAAUCGGUUGAGUUUUCAAAGAUCCGCUGGAAGGAUUUUCUGAGUGGUCCGAUGAAGAAAGGCAUCUUGAACGGCUACUUGGAACGAAAAGGCUUUGCGGAGUUAGAAUCUCAGAGGAGUGUGUAGCAUAGUGUAUCGUCUUAUAAUCUUUUCUGUGGAGUGUUUCUACAAUGCAGGGCUGACAAGCUUCAGACAAAAAAAGGCAUCCGGGAAACAAAAAAAAGCCAUGUCGGGAUUCAUGGUUUCAAGUGGGUCACUUCUUCACCUCCGGUAUCAACUGUGCUUAUGUUCUUGGAUAUUCUGAAACCAUCAUGGUUUCUCUGGGUUGGAUAUUUGGUGUUGUCGGCUAAAUUUUAGAUACUGCCAUAUCAUUAUAUGCAAAUCAGCACUUCAGGUGGAUCAAUAUAAUUUAUAAAUAAUUUCCUUGCAUCAUAAUUUAAAAAUUAUAUAAUUGGUUAUUCCUCAUUAUUUGCUUGAAUUAUUUGUUAGAAGGUCAUGGUUUGGUAAUUCACACCGGCAUUGUCUCACUAGAUUAGGCUUUGUAAUUGUUUAUUGUUCUCCCCAAAAAUUACAUCUUAGUGUUCUCCCCUCUCGCGAGGAAAUUAUAAAUAAAGCUAGAUACUACAUGAAUGGAGCAGCAACAUGACCCAGAAAAAGGAACACCAACUAAUAAGGUAUCUCUUAUUUCAUGUUACAAAUAAGCUACACACAGCGAAAUAACAUUUCGUGCUUUCUGUCUUUUGUACUGCUCAGCGACUUUAGUUUAAUUUCAGCGCUUUUAAUCUUUAUCAGAUGGUUGGCCCCCACUGCCUAUAUCUUAUUUGUUUCUGCUCUUCCCAUUAUUGUUUUUGGAGGGCAACUGUACUAGAGGAUACAUUUACUUUCAUUUUGUUAUAUGUGACAGAAUAGAUAAUGCUAGGGAUGUUUAAUUCCUCUCUUUUGUCUUUCUAAUUAGUACAUGGGGGAGGGGUAAUGAGCAUGUGCAUGAACAUGCAAAUUUUAUACUGACUUUUCUUUUAUAUAUUUCGUUAUGCUGUGUGCAUUUUUGUCCUCUUUUUUGGGCUCUCCUGAUUCUAUUGUUGUUUCUUCAAGUUCAUUUAUGGACAGGACUGUCUUCGCUCUCUAUGCUUUUGUCAGACAACAACUAAACCUGUCACACUUGCCUAUGGCAUAUCCAAACCUAAGCAUGCGACACAGAUAGCUAGACGGUGGAAAUGUUUUUUUGGUUCUUUCCCCUCCCAUGUAAUUUGCCGUUUUUAUGAUACUUAUAGUGUCCAAUGGUUCAUUCCACUUUUAAAUAUCUCUGUGAAGUCACAUGUAUUACAAUUGCAAAUGGUCUGUGGUGUCAUAUGGUAUGUGUACAUUGGUGCAGGUUUUAUAUUCCUCUUUUGAAUGAAAAUAAUAAUAAUUCAAGAGCCCAAGUAUGAAUGAGUAUGAUGCGUA